Molecule: long non-coding RNA, 464 nt
Organism: Vitis riparia (riverbank grape)
Lineage: Eukaryota; Viridiplantae; Streptophyta; Magnoliopsida; Vitales; Vitaceae
Exons: 2
Source: RefSeq, a predicted model, not a curated record
AUGAAUGGAUUGUGGAGAAAGAAGAUCCCCUCCUCCCCCUUGAUCUUUGUUGGCUUCAAGAUAAUGAAUUAUUCAAUGUUGAUGCCAUUAGAGUUGUGUCAUCCAACUCCUAAGAGACGCAAACAUCAUCGGAUCAUAUGGUUUCUUCACAUUCCUACAAAAGGAAACAUAAUGAAGUACCAAGUACAAGUGGAGGCAAAGGCAAAGAGAAGGAAUUGAAUUUGACACCAAUUGAUGAAAAUGAAGAUUUAGAUGAAAUGGGGAUACAUGAUAGUGGACAUUUUCCUACUAUUGAUACAUUGGAUGAGGAUGAUGAUGACCUUGGAGAGGAGGAUUUAAGUUGAAACAAUUUACUCUAGUUGUUAUUUCAUGACUUAGUUAUGGAUUUUUUGUAAAAGUUUAGAACUAUUAUUAUGGUUGACUCUAUUUUCUAUUUCAUGACUUAGUUAUGGCUUUUUGUUAAA